Molecule: non-coding RNA, 206 nt
Organism: Oryza punctata
Lineage: Eukaryota; Viridiplantae; Streptophyta; Magnoliopsida; Poales; Poaceae
Source: Rfam
UUUAAACGCAACCAUGAGUUUCCGUAUCCAAUUUUAAUAGUCCGUCUUAUUUAAAUUUUUUUUAUGAUUAAUAUUUUUAUUGUUAUUAGAUAAUAAAAUAUGAAUAGUACUUUAUUCGUAACUUAUAUUUUUUAAUUUCUUUUAAAAAUUUUUUAAAUAAGAUAAACAAUUAAAGUUGAAUACGGAAACUUAUGGUUGCAUUUAAA